UUCGGUGGCGAUAGCGGGGGGGAAACACCCGUACCCAUUCCGAACACGGAAGUUAAGCCCUCAUGCGCCGAUGGUACUGAGCGGGCGACCGUUCGGGAGAGUAGGUCGCCGCCGGUU
Molecule: ribosomal RNA, 117 nt
Filed under: Candidatus Latescibacterota bacterium
Lineage: Bacteria; Pseudomonadati; Candidatus Latescibacterota
Also listed under: 1 other name
Source: RNAcentral